This is a long non-coding RNA of Triticum dicoccoides, 1018 nucleotides long. RefSeq lists it as uncharacterized. NCBI's taxonomy places the organism in Eukaryota, Viridiplantae, Streptophyta, Magnoliopsida, Poales, Poaceae. The transcript is spliced from 3 exons. The record is from RefSeq and is a predicted model, not a curated record.
UAACCCUAACCCGCCGCCGCCGCCCACUCCAUCGCCGUCCCUCCCAAACCCUACUUCUGGCCGGCACGUUCUCCCCUUCCCUGUGCGCCGCCGCCCUACUUCUCUUCCUCCUCUAAGUCGUUGUUUCCAUGGAAGCGGUCCGGCCUGUUCAUUGCAGGAUCUAGCAGUCUGGCCGCAUGGUGGUCGGUGCUGCCGGAUCUGGCGGUCUGGCCGCACUGGGGGUCGAUUGUUGCUGCAUUUGGCUGCUCCGGGCCUCAUCAACGACGCCCAGGUUGUUCGCCUCCCCAUCGCCACUUCCCCAUCAUCAUCUCAUCUGCCUCCCCCAGAUCUACUGAGAGGGUAAGCCCGAGAGUAGCCGCCUGUCUCCUGAGGAGUUCACUCCCAACGCCACUGCCUUCGGAACACGGUCCUCUUCUUCAUGGCAUCGAGUUCAAGCAGGUCAACUGCGAGCUGCAUCGAUUCCUCUUCUUCGUGGGGUCUGCACCUUCUCAGAGUGCAGUCCUGCAGCACCUGCCAAUGUGGAGGACGGAUGGCGGGGUCCUGGUAGAGCUGCUCUACGUCGGCCCUGUCGAGCUCAACCACUAAUUUUUCAACCACGCGUUGCACCAUCACUUCCUCUACACUCACUACCAAUGGAGGUGGAUUAUAAUGUUGUGGCGAUAAUAACACCAACCUUACAGCCAUAUCGUUUACGAAUAACUCUGACAAGGUUUCCCAAAGGUACACAAGUUCACUAAGGUUUGGAGGAUCUUCAAGCUGCUGGAGAUUUAGAAGAUCUUCAAGCUCCUCGAGAUUUGGAAGACCUACAAUUAAGUUGGAGUGAUAAUGUCGUAUGUAUUGUUUGUGAACCCAAAGACUUGCUCUGCUCAUUUUGGUUGUGUGGCACACAUCUAGAAACAUAUGUACAUCUCCUCUUGUGGCACUACUUUAUUUUGGUUGUGGCAAACAUAAAUGUACUUUUGUGGCUCAGCCUCCAUAUAUAUGGGUGUUUUGUUUAUUGAAUGAAGUUUAAGAUUUU